RNAcentral lists this ribosomal RNA (497 nucleotides) under uncultured bacterium. Its description in RNAcentral is "partial 16S ribosomal RNA". It matches the Rfam family "Bacterial small subunit ribosomal RNA", at positions 28 to 507 of the family's 1533-position model. The record is from RNAcentral.
GAUGAACGCUGGCGGCGUGCCUAAUACAUGCCAGUCGAGCGAACGGACGAGAAGCUUGCUUCUCUGAUGUUAGCGGCGGACGGGUGAGUAACACGUGUAUAACCUACCUAUAAGACUGGGAUAACUUCGGGAAACCGGAGCUACUACCGGAUAAUAUUUUGAACCGCAUGGUUCAAAAGUGAAAGACGGUCUUUCUGUCACUUAUAGAUGGAUCCGCGCUGCAUUAGCUAGUUGGUAAGGUAACUGCUUACCAAGGCAACGAUGCAUAGCCGACCUGAGAGGGAGAGCGGCCACACUGGAGCUGAGACACGGCCGAGACUCCGACAGGAGGCAGCAGUAGGGAAUCUUCAGCAAUGGGCGAAAGCCUGAUGGAGCAACGCCGCGUGAGUGAUGAAGGUCUUCGGAUCGUAAAACUCUGUUAUUCGGGAAGAACAUAUGUGUAAGUAACUGUGAACAUCUUGACGGUACCUAAUCAGAAAGCCACGGCUAACUACGUG